Long non-coding RNA from Oreochromis aureus, 485 nucleotides. The record is from Ensembl. NCBI's taxonomy places the organism in Eukaryota, Metazoa, Chordata, Actinopteri, Cichliformes, Cichlidae.
CAAAGCCCUUCAUUCUUCAAUGGAGGGAAGGCUAAUCAACGCUGUAGCAAACCACCCGGAGCUGUACGACACCAGCUGCUUUGUGUACCGAGACAGGAAUUUAAAGGACCGAGCUUGGAGGAAGAUAUGUAAAAAGAUCGGACAACCUGAACCAGCUGAUUCUGCAGCAGAGCAUCCCCUGUUGCUUCUCCUUGCUCCCCAGUCCCUGAGCUCCUGCUGCUGCGCCUACAGGCCCAGAGAGGAGGACAGCUCCGAGGCAAAUGAGGGACUGGUCCCAGGACGGUCCAUCGGUGGUGGAGCUGGCCAUCCUGGUGUCCAGAGGCCACGCCAGUCUCCAAUGAAGCAUUUCCUCCUCAGCCUUGUUCCUGCUCUGGAGAGCAGCUGGGUCCUUUUUAUUCCUGUCUCUCUGUAAAUACUUAUAUUUUAUAUUUAUGGUUAAUAUUUUUCUGUUUGAGAAUUUUAAUAUUAUUUCAAAUAAAUUUUUA